CGUUCCCGGGCCUUGUACACACCGCCCGUCACACCAUGGGAGUUGGUUUUACCUUAAGGCGGUGGGCUAACCCGCAAGGGAGGCAGCCGACCACGGUAAGGUCAGCGACUGGGGUG
Molecule: ribosomal RNA, 116 nt
Filed under: uncultured bacterium
Lineage: Bacteria
Description: partial 16S ribosomal RNA
Rfam family: Bacterial small subunit ribosomal RNA
Source: RNAcentral